This is a non-coding RNA of Auricularia subglabra TFB-10046 SS5, 81 nucleotides long. Lineage: Eukaryota; Fungi; Basidiomycota; Agaricomycetes; Auriculariales; Auriculariaceae. The record is from Rfam.
GGGCAAUUGGCACAGUGGUAGCGCGCUUGCUUCGCAUUCAGUGAUUGCAUGAGGUCUUGGGUUCAAUCCCCAAAUUGUCCA